UCAGAAGAGGCUACUACUAGCUAUCUAGCUUCAUGUUUAACUCUUCUUGGGUUUGUGUUUUUGUGUGCUUGUUGGAGUUGUUAGGAGGAAGAGAGGGGUGAGAGGUGAGGCUGACAGAAGAGAGUGAGCACACAUGGUGACUUUCUUGCAUGCUGAAUGGACUCAUGCUUGAAGCUAUGUGUGCUCACUUCUCUCUCUGUCAGCCAUUUGAUCUCUCUUUCUCUCUUUCUCCCUCAUGUGUUAUACUGUUCUCUCAUAUCUUCUUCUUUGAGGUAGUAAUAUACUUGAGCAAAUUAAGCUGCUUAAUUAUUUGUGUAUGAUGAUCAGCUGCUGAUCCGGCCUCAUUUCUUGCAUAUAUGAGAUCAGUUUCAACCACAACCACAUACAUGCUUGUUCAUUUUUUUUCACAAAGAAAGAGAACAGUUUAAUUUAAUUUCUUGGGGUUUUUGGAUCAGUUAAUUUGUCUUGAGAGGGGAAGAGAUCUCUAUGGGUUUUGGAGGUCUGACAGAAGAGAGUGAGCACACACGGUGCUUUCUUAGCAUGCAAGAGCCAUGCUGGGAGCUGUGCGUGCUCACUCUCUAUCUGUCAGCCGUUCACCAUGCCCAAUAUGAUUAAUCUCCUUCUCUCAGUUGACAGUAAUUUCUUUGCCAGAUCUCCUGUUAAAUUUUCUGCCUAGCUAGCUAUUAUGCACAUGCUUAUUAUGAUGAGCCUGCCAAUAUCAUCUCCACGGCAAAACACAAACUAGCUAUGAUUUGAUUCAUUAUAUUUCUUUUCGCUGUUUAAUUAAUUAUAUGCAG
Molecule: precursor RNA, 797 nt
Filed under: Oryza sativa Indica Group (long-grained rice)
Lineage: Eukaryota; Viridiplantae; Streptophyta; Magnoliopsida; Poales; Poaceae
Description: putative precursor microRNA R156bc
Rfam family: mir-156 microRNA precursor family (bases 502-589)
Source: RNAcentral